GACGAACGCUGGCGGCGUGCUUAACACAUGCAAGUCGAGCGGUAAGGCCUUUCGGGGUACACGAGCGGCGAACGGGUGAGUAACGCGUGGGUGAUCUGCCCUGCACUUCGGGAUAAGCCUGGGAAACUGGGUCUAAUACCGGAUAUGACCUCCUAUCGCAUGGUGGGUGGUGGAAAGAUUUAUCGGUGCAGGAUGGGCCCGCGGCCUAUCAGCUUGUUGGUGGGGUAAUGGCCUACCAAGGCGACGACGGGUAGCCGACCUGAGAGGGUGACCGGCCACACUGGGACUGAGACACGGCCCAGACUCCUGCGGGAGGCAGCAGUGGGGAAUAUUGCACAAUGGGCGAAAGCCUGAUGCAGCGACGCCGCGUGAGGGAUGACGGCCUUCGGGUUGUAAACCUCUUUCAGCAGGGACGAAGCGCAAGUGACGGUACCUGCAGAAGAAGCACCGGCUAACUACGUG
Molecule: ribosomal RNA, 462 nt
Filed under: uncultured bacterium
Lineage: Bacteria
Description: partial 16S ribosomal RNA
Rfam family: Bacterial small subunit ribosomal RNA
Source: RNAcentral